This is a long non-coding RNA of Mya arenaria, 371 nucleotides long. RefSeq lists it as uncharacterized. The record is from RefSeq and is a predicted model, not a curated record. The transcript has 3 exons. Lineage: Eukaryota; Metazoa; Mollusca; Bivalvia; Myida; Myidae.
CACUAGUAGUUUAUUCCCCUGGCGAUUAAUAAAUAUUUAAAUUCAUUAUCAUUAAAUAAUAAAACCAAUUUAAGUUUAUAUGGUUAUUUUUAAUUAAUUCUGUAAUUAAUAGAUUCGGUUCAUGUUGAUUUGAUUUUUAUCAACGAAAUUAUUUAGUUUUAUAUUCACUGCGGUAUUUGUGCCAUUUCAAAAAGAUGAUGCAAGUCAAAUCAUACUUUUGGUAUUAAUCAAUGUAUCGUAUAUUGUGGAAAGAUCGAUCAAAGUUGCAGAGAGCGCACAACUGCAAAUUGAGACACUGAAAUAGAGGAAUAAAGGCAAUCAUAGGGGAGAGGAAGCAUGUUUAAUCAGAUGAGGAUGAAUAAAUGUCAGUG